This 660-nucleotide ribosomal RNA is filed under the name uncultured marine bacterium. Its description in RNAcentral is "bacterial SSU rRNA". It matches the Rfam family "Bacterial small subunit ribosomal RNA", at positions 821 to 1482 of the family's 1533-position model. The record is from RNAcentral.
UGUUGGGAGGCAAUGCCUUUCAGUGGAGCAGCUAACGUUUUAAGUUGUCCGCCUGGGGAGUACGGCCGCAAGGCUAAAACUCAAAUGAAUUGACGGGGACCCGCACAAGCAGUGGAUCAUGUGGUUUAAUUCGAUGCAACGCGAAAAACCUUACCUACUCUUGACAUACUUGGAAGCUCUUGUAAUGAGAGUGUGCUUUUAAGAACCAAGAUACAGGUGCUGCAUGGCUGUCGUCAGCUCGUGUCGUGAGAUGUUCCGUUAAGUCGGAUAACGAGCGCAACCCUUACCCUUAUUUGCCAGCGAUUCGGUCGGGAACUAUAAGGGGACUGCCGGUGAUAAACCGGAGGAAGGUGAGGACGACGCCAAGUCAUCAUGGCCCUUACGAGUAGGGCUACACACGUGAUACAAUGGGGAAUACAGACGGACGCUAAGCCGCGAGGUGGUGCUAAUCCUAAAAAGUUCUUCGUAGUCCGGAUUGGAGUCUGCAACUCGACUCCAUGAAGUUGGAAUUGCUAGUAAUCGCGGAUCAGCAUGCCGCGGUGAAUACGUUCUCGGGUCUUGUACACACCGCCCGUCACACCAUGGAAGUGGAUUGCACCAGAAGUAGAUAGUCUAACCUUAGGGAGGGCGUUUACCACGGUGUGCUUCAUGACUGGGGUG